ACUACUUUGGCAGAACUAAAGUGUACUGGAUUUAGAAUCCAGAAAUGUGAUAAUAUUACAAGUAGUA
RNAcentral lists this transfer RNA (67 nucleotides) under Mecopoda elongata. Its description in RNAcentral is "tRNA-Leu". It matches the Rfam family "tRNA". Rfam says of the family: Transfer RNA (tRNA) molecules are approximately 80 nucleotides in length. Their secondary structure includes four short double-helical elements and three loops (D, anti-codon, and T loops). Lineage: Eukaryota; Metazoa; Arthropoda; Insecta; Orthoptera; Tettigoniidae. The record is from RNAcentral.